Molecule: long non-coding RNA, 657 nt
Organism: Ruditapes philippinarum (Manila clam)
Lineage: Eukaryota; Metazoa; Mollusca; Bivalvia; Venerida; Veneridae
Exons: 2
Source: RefSeq, a predicted model, not a curated record
GAAAUGCUACCAUUUUUAUUUAAAAAAUGUCUAGUUUUUGGUAUUGUGUGACAGAUUUGAUAGCAAAACAAAUUUGCCAUAUAUCAUCUAGGCAAUCUUCAACUAUGUGUAUUCUUUUUUGUUACAUUUCCCUUCCUACAUUACUCUAUUGUUGAAAUAUUCUUCUGUCGAUGUACAGGAGGAUUUGCUACCUUAAUGCGGUCAGCGCGGUAUUCGUUUAAUUAUGUGUGUAAUAAAAUCUGGAACGAAUUUAGCGGGCUUUAUCGCUAUCUCACCGUCAUGGAAGAAUUGAUGUUCAGAAGUACAAUUUGUACAUUUGUAAGAAUGUGGUAGAGUGUUAUUGUUUUAUCAUCAAAAGGAUUGCACUUAAACUGAGCAAAAAGUUAUGCGAUCAUCAGAUGCAAAUUUAAGAUAUGUGAAACAAACAAAACAAAACAACAGACGUGAUAGACGAAAUCAACAAGAUAUCACACAGUACCUGGAUUUAAGAAUUUGAACGAUAAUUUUAUUGAUUGUCUGACAACUUUCAUUUAAUUAUGCUUUGCUUAUUUAUUUAUUUUUGUUGUUUUAUUUUUAUCAAUUAACAAAUAUAUAUUGAACAAUAGAUUCCACAUGUAUGGUACCAUGUACGAAUUAAAAAUAAAAAAUAAGAGAGGA